RNAcentral lists this transfer RNA (67 nucleotides) under Hymenolepis diminuta. Its description in RNAcentral is "tRNA-Cys". The record is from RNAcentral. Lineage: Eukaryota; Metazoa; Platyhelminthes; Cestoda; Cyclophyllidea; Hymenolepididae.
GAGUGUGUAGCUAUUUAGGUCUUAGUUUUGCAAAAACUAAUGAGAGGAAGAUAUUUCUCCAUGCUUU